AGUGAACGCUGGCGGUAGGCCUAACACAUGCAAGUCGAACGGCAGCACAGUAAGAGCUUGCUCUUACGGGUGGCGAGUGGCGGACGGGUGAGGAAUACAUCGGAAUCUACUUUUUCGUGGGGGAUAACGUAGGGAAACUUACGCUAAUACCGCAUACGACCUACGGGUGAAAGCAGGGGAUCUUCUGACCUUGCGCGAUUGAAUGAGCCGAUGUCGGAUUAGCUAGUUGGCGGGGUAAAGGCCCACCGAGGCGACGAUCCGUAGCUGGUCUGAGAGGAUGAUCAGCCACACUGGAACUGAGACACGGUCCAGACUCCUACGGGAGGCAGCAGUGGGGAAUAUUGGACAAUGGGCGCAAGCCUGAUCCAGCCAUACCGCGUGGGUGAAGAAGGCCUUCGGGUUGUAAAGCCCUUUUGUUGGGAAAGAAAAGCAGCAGGUUAAUACCCCGCUGUUCUGACGGUACCCAAAGAAUAAGCACCGGCUAACUUCGUG
Molecule: ribosomal RNA, 492 nt
Filed under: uncultured bacterium
Lineage: Bacteria
Description: partial 16S ribosomal RNA
Rfam family: Bacterial small subunit ribosomal RNA
Source: RNAcentral